AUUUUUCUUUACAUUAACUCCUCUCUGCUGAUGAUACAGAGCUGACAAUUCAGAAGAUGUAUUAGAAAAAGUUCUCAUGAAAGUGUGAAUUAGUAUAAACAUUUCUGAAAAUAGGAUCUCCAGAGAUAUUUUCUAAGCAAAGCACUUUUGUUAAGGAAACAGGGCAAUCUUUUGAACUCUGUAGCUUUGGGUCAAUAUAUGCAACAUUAUAACUUGGACUAUUUUCUUAACUGUAACUGUAGCAAAUAAAGACAUGCUAUAUGUGUAUCUCAUUGCCAUAAAAAAAAUAUUGAGAACAAUGGACCUGGAUUGUAUGUUUUCCCCAUUUUGUAACCAAAAUAUCUCCAUUAAGAAUAAUAAUGCAUUGUUGAAAGCUCUAAAAAGCAAUAAAUGAAGUAUAAACUUGUAGCCAAGGCUGUUAGCACAGAGGAAUGUGAUUUAGUAAACACAUAUAGUACUACAGUUUUAUGAGUUAUUUUAAAUACCAGGAACUUUGUCAUAACACAAAACAGAACUUCAAUUUUCACUUCAUUUGUUCACUGAUCAUUUUUAAAAACUAACCAUAGACUUAAUGCACUUGACUUGACACCUGUGUUUACCGCUUAACUAAAUGUUACCUUCACUAAAGUUCUAUAAAUUUCUGCCAAGUCAGGUAAUAUCAACAGAUUUUUUUGAGGCAUUCUUAAAAGCUGAAAACACCCCACCAAACCAAAAAUAACAUUAAGAACUUCAUUGACACACAGACCUUUGACAAGCUCUGCAGAGACGCAAAUAACAGAAAGAAUAUUGACUCUCCACUUUCUUUCACAGUUUUAAGCUCGUUAUGAACUCUUGCACUAAUACUCCAACAGUAAAAACUUCAGUAAUUAGCAACAGAUUAGAGUGGGACAACAGAAGACAGUCAACUAGUCUGCACUGUUUUUCAUAAUGGCUAAUAGUAUUUAUGAUUUCACUAACAUAAAAAUGGAAAAUACUGAAAAAUUCAUUAGACUUAAUUUUGUAUUGAGAAGGGGAAAAAAAAUGUCAAGAAAAGAAGUGAUCUUUUCCAGAACCAGUAGAAACGCAUGCAUUUGAAGUGAUAAUUCUGACAAGGAAAGGGAUCUGAAAAAAACAAAUCCAGAUAUAGAAAAGCUAUCAGAAUGAUGAAUCCAAGCUAAAACUGGCAGCCAGAGGUCAAGGUAACAAUUUUAUGGGUCUCCAAGGCCUUAUGAGAAAGCAAAAUGAACAUCUUUUACAUGCCACCAAAUGGUAUCUGAAACCAAUAUGCUGCCAUAAAAAUCAGCUGAAACAUAAAAGUACUGAGGCAUUGGCCUCACAUCUCUGACGACUUCUGUACUGCUCUCGCCACACUGUGAAUGGACAAGUGCUUACCAACACUCAGAAGACUGAGAAAAAAUUCUUACAGUGUAAAAAGUCCUCAGUUCAUUUGUUUCCAGCUAACUGAUAUUACGUUACGAGAAUCCAACUUGCAAUAUGGAAUAAUCAAAAAGGAAACUUGAAAUUAGUUGGCUCCUAUUUUAAAGCUCCCAGUGGGAAAGACACAGACAGUUCUGUACAAUGUAAUACCUUGCUAAGAAAGGUCAAGUCUUCAGGCUGCAUUAAGAGCUACAGAUGGAUUAUCAUCUACCUCAAAGGUGCAUGGCCUUUGAUUCCAUGGAUUUCAGUGUUUGGAUUGUGUUUCAAUGGCUUAAAACACAAAAAAAGCAUCAAUAGAAUCAAACUUUCCAUUGACAUAAAUGAAGGUAAUUGGGACUCAAAACAGAUGUCUUCAUUUUGCCCAUCUUGUAACUGAAAUAAGAGUGGUCAGAGAAUUGAAGUCCAAAACAGAAGUAAAGGCAAUAUGUCUUCCUUUCUAGGGUAAGAUAUUUUGGUAACUAUAAAAAUUACACUGAGAAAUCAUUCCUAACAUUCAUCUUUCUACCCUUUCUAAAUGUCACAUUGCAUAUGAUACCUAAAAGCAGUUUUGAUUUAUUGAUUAGGAACUUAAGGUCAUGCUAUCUCAUGGGCUUGCGCAGAAACAGUAUCUAAGAAAUAUUGUUAUAUACAAGAGCUAUUUGUCAUGGAAUAAAGUUACCUCUUUUACUAUAAUAUAAAGGAAAAAUUCAUCAUUUGAGUUUCUAAAUAAGCCUGUGAAAAUGAUUGAAGGCUGAAUGCAUCGCUCCAGAAAGAUGUCUUUGAAACUUGUUUUUGGACCUUUUAACUGUAUUAAUUUAUAUUAUCAAUAUGCAAAUUAGUCACAUUCAGUAAUGAUCAGAUGGUUAAGAGAUUAUUUAAGGUGUAUAAAAUCUGUGGGAAUGGCUAUUAUACAAAUUUGAUGAUGUUUUGUUCCAAGUACUGUUUACAAAGUACCUAUUUAAGGUCAUGUGUCUCCUUAUUUUAUGUGCAUGUAUGUCAUGGUUUGAUGUGACAGCCUUUUCUGGUAAGGGGAAAGGGGCUGUAAAGAUGGCUCCUGUAAGAAGUUGCUCACAAUUCUCCCCAGCUCUGAGAUCCACUUCUGGGGCUGAGCCAAUUAGACGCCUCCACGAUCACUUUUUAAGAAGAAGCUGGAAGAAGAGGUUUCUUCCUCCAUCUUCCUCCAUCUUCUUCCUUCUUCUCUGCCCCUUCUUUUUCUUCUGGCUGAUGGUGGUGCAAGGAGUAGGAACAGUGAGAGAAACAACCAUGUGGACUCCAAGGUCAGUGAUGAAAGAGAGAAGGAGGUGUGCUGGAGCAGAGACUCCCCUGCAUUCUAUGGAGGAUUGGUGAAACAGAUUUCUUUUCAUUUUUUUAAAGACCACACAUCAGCAGUAGAGACUCAUAUUGAUAAUGACCCCAUAUAAGGGGUAGGGACUCAUUUUGCUGAAGCUGGCCCCAGACCAGGGGCAGUAAUUCACUUCAUUAAAGGCCCCAAGCCAGGGACAGUGACUAUGGACGAAAGAGACCAUGUGCCAUGGGGGGGCUUCACUAUAGACCCCAAGCCAGGGGCAGUGAUUUUCUUCUUUAAAACUAUGGCUGGAAGAGGCCAUGUCCCGAAGGAGGGAUCCUUUAUCACUAUGGCCGGAGCAGGCCGCGUCCUGAGGAAGGGACCCAAUAUCCACAGCUGUAACUGUGGGGAAGAACCCACGACAAAGCAGCUCAUUAAAUUUAUGCCCAGAAGAGGCCUUGACCCUGUAACUGCAGAAACUACAACCAUAGUGAGGAAUCCACUCGAGAUAUUCACCAAGGACUGAGUCCCGUGUGAGGGACCCUGUAUCGACAGAAGCCACAGCUGUUGGGAACAACUCACACCAGAGAAAUUAAUUAAGGUCUGUGUCCCAUGGGAGGGACCCCGUGUUGGAACAGGGGAAGAAUGCCAGGAGUCAUCCUCAUCUGAGAAGACAGAAGCGGCAGAGCUCAUCUGUGAGAGACUGACCACAUCCCCCAUUCUCUGCCCCCCUGAGCUUUUGAGGGGGGAGGAGGUAGAGAUAUCGGGAGCAGUGAGCUGGGCCAAGGAAGAAAGGAGGGAUGGGGGAGGGAGAUGUUAAAGUGCUGGUUGUAAUUUUCUCAUCAU
Colius striatus (speckled mousebird) is the source of this 3526-nucleotide long non-coding RNA. RefSeq lists it as uncharacterized. NCBI's taxonomy places the organism in Eukaryota, Metazoa, Chordata, Aves, Coliiformes, Coliidae. The record is from RefSeq and is a predicted model, not a curated record. The transcript is spliced from 4 exons.